UACUUUUUUUUUUUUUUUUUUUUUUUUUUAGUGAACAGCUGAUUUAACAGGAAGAGAAAACUCCAUGGAAAAGCAUCAGUGCAUAAAUUGCUCCUGCCCUGAACUCAAUGCUAUUAAUUCUUUGAUGCCAACAGUCAAAUUUUGUCAGAAAUGGAAUUCGCUUCGACACUGUCUGCCAAAUGGAUAGACGCCCAAAAAAAUGACAUUAAAUGAUAUUCAUGUUCUGACCAACUUACUAAAACAAGGCUAUUCUGAAUUAUUGUUGGCAUGAGACUUUCCUGUUUAAAGUUCAGCCGUCUUCGUCACCACAGUCGCAUACUUGUGAUUCUGACUAUUCACAAUCAUUUAUGUUGGACAAAUCGUCCUAACGUGCCAUCCUAUUUGAUACUGUAAAUAGAAAAAAAAGAAAAAGAAAAAGAAAAAAGACUAAGCUUCCAGAGAAGACAAUGUAAUAAUGCUGAUUUUACUUGAGAAUAGAUGUAGAAUUAGUGAGAAGAAUAAUCCUGUUUAUAUAGAUUCAGGGACUUUUUAAUGUACUCAAUGUAUCAAGUAAUUUUGAAACAAUACAGAGCACAGUAUUUAUUGCCAGGAAUCCUAAAGUAUUUCAGGAGCACCAGGCUCAAUUUCCUUCUAUAUGUCAGAAAAGGGUAAAGAGCUACGCCUUGCCUCUUGUGUAUUGUCUUUUAAUAUCCAGUUGCCCUUGGGCUCUGUGAGAAAAUCACUAACAGGGCAGCACCCAGCAAAAAGCCUAUACAGUUGAAUGUGUGUUCACCUUGCUUUAAAUAUUUCCUAAAAGAUAAAGCAAAAAGCGACACAAAAGGUCCUGAGAACAUGCAAUCCACCCCUAAGAGCAUUCCCCAGGGAGACUCUUUAGCUUCUGUCUCAUUUAUAGUCAAGAUAAAGGUCUCCUCCUCAUGGGAUGUCCUGAGAAGAAAUGCCCUUGUUGAAUUAGCAAUUCCUUACGUUUACAAGGUUCUAUGACAUUUGUAAAGAAUGUUCAUAUACGUUAUCUCAUUUGCUCUUCAUAGCAACCCAUUAAAUUGAUAGAGCAGGUAAUAAUACUCCAGCAAGAACCCGUAUGUUCUGAUUCCCAGGGCAGGACUUCCCAUCUCCCCGCCAAACCUCAGGUCGGAGAUUGGGGAAGGUUGCUUCAAAUGUCAUGGCAGUGCAUCACGGUCGGCCUCAUCAGAGAGUGUAAUUCAGAUUGUCUGCUAUCCAGAUCCUGUCAAAAGCCAGGCAUUUUGGGGAGAGAAUGAAUUUCUAGAGAUCAGUUUUACAGGAUGUGACAAAAGGCUUAAAAAUGCUCCAGCACUUUGACAUAGCAAUUCCACUUCUAGUAAUUUAUCAUAAAUGCAUGCAGAGAUAUAUGUACAACAAGGGUAGGUGCCUUACUACUUAAAAUAGGGGAAAAUGCCAAACUAAAAGUCUAAAAUUAGGAAGCUGUGAUGUAUAGAUAGAUAGAUCGAUCGAUCUCCAUAUAAUGGAAUAUGGGAGCGAAAUUAGAAACAGUGUUGUGUGGUGCUAUUAGUUGAUUAGGGAUAGUCUUCCUAGGACACUCAUAAAUGAAAAAUCAGACACAAAACCAGCAUAUACAGUAUAAGAGCAUUUUUAGAGAAAUAUGCGUUUUAUGCAUGAAAACAUUGACUAGAGACACGCAACAACGUAUAAACAGCUAUCUCUGGGUAGUUGGAUUGGAGGCGGUUUAUUUCUCUUUUCAUGUUAUCUGUUUCCCUGCGUGUGUGUGUGUGUGUGUGUGUGUGUNAUUCCCACCAGACAUGUAAAAAGAAGACCUGGCUGAGGGAAGUGACACGCUAAGAAGAUGGUAUAAGAUAUAUACUGUCCAGCCAUUUCUUUAAUUAUUCCAGAUGCUAACCUCAUGUUUAAUUAGAGCACAUAAGUUUUUUUUAAUUUUUAAAAAUUUAAUUAUGGGAAAUAGUUUGUCUUUCAAAAUUUGGAAUGUUUUCAUCUAGGUUCCAGAAUAUAAGGAAAGUUAUAUAAACCCCUUUGAUUCUCACUUCCCAUCACAUUCUAAAUGUAAACAACAUUUAAAAAUUAAUCCCAGUAGCUCUACAACGCUUAUGCUUAGGUUUUUUAUUGCUUCUUACUGUAGUAUCUUUUUUGUUUUUUAUUUCAAUUUUUAUGGCAUUAUUAGGCAUAUCUUUUAUUGUAAUCCUUCUCAUUGUCUUUGAAAAAACCCUUGGUAUAAAUAAUAUCCCCAGAAGUGAAUUGAAGAACCAUUCUUCUUUCUGUCCAUCUGAAAAAUUACGAAACAAUGUGUCGUUCUGUGGCUGUUGUGGUACAGUGGAACUUUUAGAGGAAAGGGUCAAAAAACUUUUAUUUAAAGUUUUUUGGGACACUGGAUGUUCUCUCUGGGACACUGGACAAGUCACUGUAUCUCUGUAUCUGUGAUCCUAUCUGAGAAAUUUUUCAAAUAAUCCAUAGGAGUGGAAGAUCCUGUUGUCUCACCCCUAAGAGCUAUUCCUAACCUCCUCCCUCUUGCCCCACCUCCCACUAGAGAGAGUGUGGAAAGUUAAAUGUUCACCUCCCCAUCUCCUUUGUGGCUGGGUGGGGCCCUGUGACUGAUACGUCUCUGGGGAAGAUUUGUGUCUCCUUUAUAGAAAAAAAAAAAAAAGUAAAUCUUUUUGCUUCCCUCCCCUACCAACAUCUGCUCCAGCUACCUCUUCCUUCCUAUUUUGCCUGGAGCUGUGCGAAACAUUUUGCAAACACAAGAUAACAAGCUUAUGAUUGAAAAGUCAGCAUGCCUAGAAUGGUGGAGGAAAAAGAUGGAAGGAGCCAGGGAUCUUGAUGGUGUCCCUGCACCACUGAUGCAAUGCCAGAACCCCGCUAAGUCUGGACUUACUCUAAUGUGCAAAAAAUAAAUCCCUGUUUGAUAAAACAACUGCCAUCCAGGCUCUCUGUUACCCAUAGCUGGGUGAUCCUGACAGUCAAUAUCAUAGAGUUGUUGUGAGAAUGAAAUGAAAUGAAAUAAUGUAUAUGCAGUUGCUUUACAAGCCAUAGGUAACUUUAGAGAUUUGUUAUUAUUUAGAGAGGCAAUGCAGAACGGUGGAAAAGGCACUCACAUUUAAGUUCGAAUAUUAGCCAUCCACCUUAUGAGACUUUGUUUGUAAGAAAAUGACCUAACUUCUCUGUGCAGCCAUUGUAUCAUCUGUAAAAUGGAGACGAUAAUAAGUAUCUGAGCAGGUUAUUGUGAGGUUGAAGGAGGUGAUACAGAGCUUGAUACAUCUUGCUCCUUAAGUGUUGGUUUGAGAGAAAAAUUAGCAAGUAGCAGUGAUGUGUGUUCUGCCCUAAAUGAAAAGACUUUCUUUUCCUGGUCAGAUCACACUGUCCUUUCAACAUGGACAUCACUAUGCAAAGUUUAGGACACUAAAAGAGACCUCAGAAUGCCCUAUUAAUAAAAAGGAGUAGGAAGAAUUUUAUUAGCUUACGAAGUUUUAUAGAGCUAGGCACAGUUCUGAGAGCUUCCCAUAUAGUGACUGAUUUAAUCUUCAUAUUAGUCCUGUGUGUCCUUUCACCUUAUUAGACAGAUGGGGAAAAGACGGUAGAGAAAAGUUAAGAAAUCCACCCCAGAUUACACACCCUAAUAAAUGGAGUGGUCAUUGAAUUCAGGCAGUCUGGGUCCAGAGCCUAUGACCUUAGCCUCAAUAUUAUGUUAAGUCUUCUUAAAGAAAUUAAGUACAUUACACUGAGCCUUCUAACUGAACAUGAAAAAAAAUUAUAUCUAAGCGAUCUCCGCUCUUAGGCUGGGAUGGUACUCCCCCCCCCAAAAAAAAAGAGAGUAUAGUUGAGAUUUUGGAAGAAAGAAAAAAUUGGGGACCAUUCCAUUCAGGAUAUGGAGGGUCAUUUCAGUUUCCAGGGAAUUGAAAUGGCAGAAAACUCAAAAUCCCUCUGGAGCUUCAUCACAUUAGGCCUUUCUGGGCAAACGUCCAGCCCAAGCUUCCUUAUUGAGCUUUUAAAUAAAAGGAUAAACCACUCCCUAAACAGAUGAGAAGCACUAGGCGGAGCCCAAAGAAGAAGGCUUGGAAUUUGCCUGGGCUAGUCAUUCUUCCUUUGUAGGAGACUAGAAGAUACCUUAAUAGAGAAAACGUGUUGGCAUUUUUGGCCUACUUUCCUGGGGAAGUAAUAAUAAUUAUCAAUGCCUUUUAUUCCUAUAAAAUGAAGAUUUUCUUUGGAGAUCUGAGUGAUAUGAGACUUAAGUUCCCAUUACGAUGUCCACAGAAUUCCCCAGAGUAAGCAGGCUUCCUAACUAGGCAUAAAUCUCUGAAAUUGUGAGACUGAGAGUAAUUAUGGGUGCACUUGAAAUGGAUAUAGUGGUUUCACACCCCUUAUAGUUUGUCUUCCUGUAUGGCAGAAGCUAGAAAAUUAAAAUAUACCAUUCCCAGAUUUCAUUACCACUCGAGUUCUGGAUGUGAAUUAGAUUCUGCCAAUUAGAGGCACUCACAUGCUAUUGAGAAUGUGGAAACAAGGAAAGGGGGAGCCUCACGGCACUUGACUGUUGCAGCGGGCUGCUGUGACCUUGAGUACCAGGGGAGCCAGCAGUGAGACACAUGGGUCUCUACUGCCUGUUCUGGGCUUUUGCUCCGGGAAGGAAUGACCUGACAGUUUUCCCAGGACCAACUUGGAGGUUAGUUAAAUCAAAGUAAGCUUUGCAGGCAGCAUGAUUUGGCGGAAAGAUAGCUAGUCCUCACUAAAUAGUCCUCACUUGUCACAUGGAAAGAAUCAAACUCAGAUGUUGCUGUAGGAAAAUGUGGGUGCAGUUGAAAGCUUGUGGUCUUUGCGUUGUGUGGUGCUGGGAUAUGUGGCACAUGAUUCAGCUACGAGGAUCUGAGUUGAGAAGGUCUUCAGUGAGGAGAUAGAUGGAGGCCACAACAGUUGUUCCAAGCAGUCUUACAGAGCCCUCAAGAACCAUGGUGCCGUGUCAAGAGGGAAUACAGAUCUCAUAGUCCCUAUGAGGGGACUAUGUCCCAAUAAACCCACUGUGAAUUGAAAAUGUUGUAAGUUGAGAAAGUACUUCGACGUACAUUGUGGCUGAACCCAGCCUAUUAAAUGGUUCAGAACACUUACACUAACCUACCAUUGAGCAAAAUCAGCUAUCAACACAAAGCCUGUUUCAUAAGACAGUGUUGAAGAUCUCAUGUAAUUUAUCAGAUGCAGUACUGAAAGGGAGAAACAGAAUGGUCGUAUGGGUACAGAACGGUGGUAAACUUAUCAGUUGUUUGCCCUUGUGAUCACGUGGCUGACUGGGAGCUGCAGGCUUGCUGUGGCUGUCCAGCACCACUGAGCAUUGUACUCCAUAUCACUAGCCCCGGAAAAUACCAAAAUUCAAAAUUCGAAAUAUGGUUUCUACUGAGUGCAUAUUGCUUUCCUAUCAUUGUAAAGUCAAAAAAAUCUUAAGUGGAACAAUCAUAAGCCAGGGACCAUCUGCACAACUGAAUCUUGGCCAACUGAGAGAGAAAAAAAA
RNAcentral lists this long non-coding RNA (5479 nucleotides) under Sus scrofa (pig). RNAcentral describes it as "lncRNA (ENSSSCG00025063537.1)". Lineage: Eukaryota; Metazoa; Chordata; Mammalia; Artiodactyla; Suidae. The record is from RNAcentral.